AGAGUUUGAUCCUGGCUCAGAGUGAACGCUGCGGCAGGCCUAAUACAUGCAAGUCGAACGGCAGCACAGCAGAGCUUGCUCUGUGGGUGGCGAGUGGCGGACGGGUGAGGAAUACGUGGGAAUCUGCCCAGUCGUGGGGAUAACGUAGGGAAACUUACGCUAAUACCGCAUGCGCCCUUCGGGGGAAAGCCGGGGACCUUCGGGCCUGGCGCGAUUGGAUGAGCCCACGUCGGAUUAGCUAGUUGGCGGGGUAAAGGCCCACCAAGGCGACGAUCCGUAGCUGGUCUGAGAGGAUGAUCAGCCACACUGGAACUGAGACACGGUCCAGACUCCUACGGGAGGCAGCAGUAGGGAAUAUUGGACAAUGGGCGCAAGCCUGAUCCAGCCAUGCCGCGUGAGUGAAGAAGGCCCUCGAGUUGUAAAGUUCUUUUGUCCGGAAAGAAAAGCGCCGGGUUAAUACCCUGGUGUCCUGACGGUACCGGAAGAAUAAGCACCGGCUAACUUCGUG
This 508-nucleotide ribosomal RNA is filed under the name uncultured bacterium. RNAcentral's name for it is "bacterial SSU rRNA". It matches the Rfam family "Bacterial small subunit ribosomal RNA", at positions 8 to 507 of the family's 1533-position model. The record is from RNAcentral.